Molecule: ribosomal RNA, 274 nt
Filed under: uncultured bacterium
Lineage: Bacteria
Description: partial 16S ribosomal RNA
Rfam family: Archaeal small subunit ribosomal RNA
Source: RNAcentral
AAACCAGCACCUCAAGUGGUCAGGAUGAUUAUUGGGCCUAAAGCAUCCGUAGCCGGCUCUGUAAGUUUUCGGUUAAAUCUGUACGCUUAACGUACAGGCUGCCGGAAAUACUGCAGAGCUAGGGAGUGGGAGAGGUAGACGGUACUCGGGAGGAAGGGGUAAAAUGCUUUGAUCUCUCGAUGACCACCUGUGGCGAAGGCGGUCUACCAGAACACGUCCGACGGUGAGGGAUGAAAGCUGGGGGAGCAAACCGGAUUAGAAACCCGAGUAGUCC